UGUUUGGAGAUCCAUUUAGUCAGGAACUCCGAAAAAGAAAAAAAGUUGUGAACUACGUCGGGAGCAGGAAUGUCUCAAACGACGUAGUAAUCAUGAACAAAGGGUGGCUGGAACUAGAAAGUGAUCCUGGACUGUUCACACUGUUGGUUGAAGAUUUUGGAGUCCAAAGUGUUCAGGUGGAAGAGAUCUACGACUUGCAGAAAACCAUUGAUGGACCUGUUUAUGGAUUUAUCUUUCUGUUCCGUUGGAUUGAGGAACGUCGAUCACGACGGAAGACUGUCACAGAGGAAGAAAGCUUUCUUCAGGAUGAAAAUGUUGUCAACAGCAUAUUUUUUGCCCAGCAGGUGAUUCCCAACUCCUGUGCUACCCAUGCCCUGCUCAGCGUCCUGCUGAACAAUGACAGGGUCAAGCUCGGCUCAACUCUGUCAAAAUUAAAGGAUUUUUCGAAAAACAUGAGCCCUGAGGACAAGGGGUUUGCAAUCGGUAAUAUGCCUGAACUAGCCAGUGCCCACAACAGACAUGCCAGACCAGAGCCCCGACAUCUACCGGAGAAACAGCAGGGAAUUUCUACGACAAAAACGAUGGAAGCUUUCCACUUUGUUAGUUAUGUACCUAUUGGGGGUCAUCUGUUUGAGCUGGACGGUCUGAAGCCUCACCCAAUAGAUCAUGGUCCAUGGCGUAAGGACGAGUACUGGACUGAGAAAUUCCGUAGGGUGAUAACAGAACGUCUAGGGAUGGCCACUGGAGGAGAGCCGUACCAUGACAUCCGCUUUAACCUGAUGGCGGUCGUACCAGACAAAAGACAGCUUUACGAACAGAAGCUGACCACCCUGAAGACUAACAGACAGAUUGUACUAGAGACAUUACAACAGUGUAAUGUCACGGAGACAGACUCUGGGCUCCUGGACUCGAAGAUGGUUAAGGUUACUACACCAGGGCUGUCUGCAGCUGAGAAAGAGAAAUAUAUGGUAGCGGUCAAGAAGCACGGUCAGCUCCCAGAUGUUAUUGUAACAAGGGAGACAACUUCUACAACCUUUACUAUAGACACUAACAGUGCUACCAAGACAACAGUGGUGAAGGCAUGUCCCAAACAGGAGAGUAAUGUAGGGGAUAAUGUGGAGGACACUAGUGCUAGUGAGAGAGUGACCACCACAGACAUAGAGGGGGGGAAAUGUGAUACACCUGCUGCUACAGACUCCGAACCUUCUAGAGACGUCACUACACCUCUCACCAUAGAGACCCAACUAAGUGGGUCCUCGCCGGGGCCAAGCAGUGAGAGUACCGACACCGCUUCAGAGGCUGGAAGCUGCUUCAGUUCUCCAAACAGUACUCUGUCCUCCUGUAAUAGUCCUCGGCUGGCUGGAGAGACAUCCCCAGGAGGGACAAAGCGAGAAGGAGAGUCCAGUCACGGCCGACACAAACAUCGGUUCAGCAGUAACCAGGCGUUUACACCAAAGGAUCUUUUGGCUUUGCUGAAAAAUGUAGAAAAUGAAAUCGCUCUGUGUGAGACUAAUCUAAAGGAUGAGAUUGAAAAGAAAAGAAAAUACCAGAUUGACGACUGUCGACGAACACACAACUAUGACCAGUUCAUCUGUACAUUCCUGUCAAUGCUGGCCAAGGAAGGUCACCUUGCUGACCUUGUCCAACAACAAGUUUUGGCCAAUAAGCGACACGGCAGCGUCAGCUCCGGACGAAUCACCAAAGUGUCUUUAAAUGAUCGUCGCAAACGGGCACGACCAAAAAAACGACGGUGAAAUUAUUAUCAGUGAACUUGUCAAUAUGUCUAAUGUAUGUGAAGAAAACCUGUCAUUUGACUCCAAGAGUAACACAAUCUUAGGCUUGAGCUUCAUAUUGUUUUAAUUAUACAUAAAACAUGUUAAUUUUGAAUUGAUGUCUUUUGCGUUGUGAGUGUUACACCUGGUGUGUAACCUGGCUAUUGUGACAAAAAUUGAUACUGAUAUGCAGAUUUUUUGUUGACAGCAUUUUUCGUAUUGUAAAGCAUUAGUUUAUGUUGUUUAGCAUUCCAAGGUAUUGGCUUUAUACUCAAUACUCAACAAUAUCUAAUUCAGCAUCUCACAAACAAGUCAACACUUACUGGACAUAGCAUUGGAGUUCAAGCAUCCAUCCAUGAUCAGUUAGUUGUCUUCUGUUUUGAAUUGGACAAGGAAGCUGAGCAGAAUUUGUAUAAUAUUGGUAUUUAAAAGUUUUAACACAUGAUGCAGGCAUUGUGACAGAAGUUUCGUCCAAUUUAAUAAGGGUGAUUGAGGGAUGAGUUGAAGGAAGCUGAGAGAAAUCUGUUGAAUAAAAUGUUACAUUCUAGGUAUGUAGAUAUACAUUCUAGGUAUGUAGAUAUACAUUCUAGGUAUGUAGAUAGGAGUGUGUGUGCAUGGUCCAAGUGAGUAUACUCGUGAGCUUUUCUAGAAUGUUAGGAGGAAGAUUGUAUAACAGGGUGAAAGUUAAACUGCUAUUUUGGCAGUAAUUGAAAGUGGAGAAUACUUUUGUCAGUUAAAAAGUGUUAUUGUAAUACAAAUGUACAGGUAAUAAGAAAAGUUGAAAGAUUCGAGGGGAGAAAUCGAUUUGCAUGUUGAGAGAGUAAAACAGGAAGUUUUGUAGGUGCUAAUUGUGCAGUGUAUCAGAAAUAUGCAAGAUUGAUACAUGCAUUUAUAUACUGUAUUUGACCUAAUAAACCCCCAAUUUUUUUAGAAGUGCUCUAUAUCCUUUUACUGGAUGGAGCAUUUGAUGCCUUCAUCAUAAUUUACCAACUCUCUUUAAAGAUGUGUCAAUUUUGACCAUUUUUUAAAAAAACUUUUUCCCAAUUUACUAAUCCAAGGACAGUUAUUAGGUCGAAGCGGUAAUAAAUGUGGAAAGUUUUCAAGUAUAAAGUAUUCUCGAGUCUCUUUGUAAUAUUAUCACUUUAUCAAUUGGUAUCUCAUGUUCUGGAUAACCACAAAUGUGUUCUGUUUCUACUUUGCAAGCUAUGACAUUAUAGAUUGCUCUUGAUGCAUUUAGUCAACAUUGAGCUGAGGAUUUGAUGAAAUACAAUGUAAAAUACAAUCGA
This 3058-nucleotide unclassified non-coding RNA is filed under the name Mizuhopecten yessoensis (Yesso scallop). RNAcentral describes it as "ubiquitin carboxyl-terminal hydrolase BAP1-like, transcript variant X6". The record is from RNAcentral. Lineage: Eukaryota; Metazoa; Mollusca; Bivalvia; Pectinida; Pectinidae.